GGUCCCACCUGCCCAGUGACCCUUUUAAACGGCCGCGGUAUCCUAACCGUGCAAAGGUAGCAUAAUCACUUGUCCUCCAAAUAAGGACUAGAAUGAAUGGUCAAAUGAGGACUAAACUGUCUCUUACAUCCAACCAAUAAAACUGAUCUUUUAGUCAAAAAGCUAAAAUAAGCCCAUAAGACGAGAAGACCCUGUGGAGCUUAAAACCAAGCCCACAAUUAUGUUCCCUUGGUUUUUAGUUGGGGCGACUUCGGAGUACAAGGAAUCCUCCAAUAUGGAUCAGUGCUAAGAAUAACAUAUCAAAGCAUAAACCUCCCAGACCCAAUAUCUUCCAAUAAUUGAUCGAUGAACCAAGUUACCCCAGGGAUAACAGCGCUAUCCUCUUCUAGAGUCCAUAUCGACAAGGGGGUUUACGACCUCGAUGUUGGAUCAGGACACCCAAAUAGUGUAGCCGCUAUUAAAGGUUCGUUUGUUCAACGAUGAAAGUCCUA
Molecule: ribosomal RNA, 491 nt
Filed under: Tropidosaura essexi
Lineage: Eukaryota; Metazoa; Chordata; Lepidosauria; Squamata; Lacertidae
Description: partial 16S large subunit ribosomal RNA
Rfam family: Bacterial large subunit ribosomal RNA
Source: RNAcentral